This 842-nucleotide small RNA is filed under the name Arabidopsis thaliana (thale cress). RNAcentral's name for it is "ATSL061380". Lineage: Eukaryota; Viridiplantae; Streptophyta; Magnoliopsida; Brassicales; Brassicaceae. The record is from RNAcentral.
UUUAAAUUAUUAAUGACCAUUUUAUCUUUAUUUGAAAAUGUUUUCGGUUAACAUAAUGAAAUAUUGAUUUUUUCCGCCAAAAAUAUUCCGACGAUACUUCUUAUUUAAUUGUAUAUAAAAAGAUAGGUUGAACUUCUUGCCUUGUUAAAAACCUACAGAAGCCAUUAUCAUGAAUCGGAACAAAGGAGUGCGUAAAGAAUACCACAUCUCUCUAUUAAAAUUUUAGAAGCAGGCAACAUAUGCUCCUUUUGUCUGGCCUCAUAUCCAGUGAAUAAUCCACAUCAUUUCACAAAAAGCAAUCCUCGUGCCAACAUAAUUGAUGCACAAGAAUAUGUAAUAUGCAUACGUUUAACACCAUGUGAGCCCAAGGUUGACAACACAUAUUGAAGCUUGCCAAGUUUUCUCAAUCUAGCAAUAGUUGAUUCCGAAAGACAUUUCUAUUGGGAGAUCGAUGAGAUCGACCCAAACCGAAUUGAGACACAUAGAAAUUACAAACCAAAAUUAAGAUAUAAUUAUGGAGAUAUUGUGGACUGUGAAUAUACGAGUUUAUAAAAUUUGAUAUUAUGUCUUAUUAUAUUAUUUACAUUUAAGUUUAUCAUUUUAAGAGAACUUAGAUUUAUUUCAUCUCUUUAUAAGACAAUAAAUCUUGCAUCUUUAUUCUGAUGAGAGUCUAACAUAAUUCUUCCUAAACAUUUUUAUUUUCUUUACUCUCAUCAAUUUAUCGGUUACUGAAACUGUCUCAACCCAUAGGCCUACACAUCGAAAACCUUUCCACUUGUGCUCUCUUGGAGUUAUCAUCUAUCGCUUUUGGAAUUGGUAUAUACAUGUACUACAUCAGUAGA